Molecule: ribosomal RNA, 501 nt
Filed under: uncultured Glomeromycotina
Lineage: Eukaryota; Fungi; Glomeromycota
Description: partial small subunit ribosomal RNA
Rfam family: Eukaryotic small subunit ribosomal RNA
Source: RNAcentral
CCAAUAGCGUAUAUUAAAGUUGUUGCAGUUAAGAAGCUCGUAGUUGAAUUUCGGAAUUUGUCGGUUGGUCGGGCUUCACUGUCCGCACUGGCCUGAUGGAUUCCUACCUUCUGAAUAACCAGCAUGCUAUUUAGUUAGUGCGUUGGGGAAGCAGAGCUAUUACCUUGAAAAAAUUAGAGUGCUUAAAGCAGGCUUACGCUUGAAUAGAUUAGCAUGGAAUAAUAAAAUAGGACGGCAUGGUUCUAUUUUGUUGGUUUCUAGGAUCACCGUAAUGAUUAAUAGGGAUAGUUGGGGGCAUUAGUAUUCAAUUGUCAGAGGUGAAAUUCUUGGAUUUAUUGAAGACUAACUUCUGCGAAAGCAUUUGCCAAGGAUGUUUUCAUUAAUCAAGAACGAAAGUUAGGGGAUCGAAGACGAUCAGAUACCGUCGUAGUCUUAACCAUAAACUAUGCCGACUAGGGAUCGGACGAUGUUAAUUUUUUAAUGACUCGUUCGGCGCCUUAC